CAAUAGCGUAUACUAAUGUUGUUGCAGUUAAAAAGCUCGUAGUUGAACUUCUGGUAGGAGUGUCCCGGCCUUUUUGUUUUUACAAAUUGUAUGCUGUGUGACAUCUCUGGCCAUCCUUCUUCUUUGUUUAAAGAAGAUCUUUCACUGUAAAAAAAUUAGGGUGUUCAAAGCAAAAGUUUCUUUGGAAUAUAUUAGUAUGGGAUGAUAAGAUAGGCUCUAGAUGCUAUUUUGUUGGUUUGCACAUUUAGAGAAUGAUUAACAGGGACAGUUGGGGGUAUUCGUAUUUACAUGUCAGAGGUGAAAUUCUUGGAUUUCGGAAAGACGAACUACUGCGAAAGCAUUUACCAAGGAUGUUUUCAUUAA
This 363-nucleotide ribosomal RNA is filed under the name uncultured eukaryote. RNAcentral's name for it is "partial 18S ribosomal RNA". It matches the Rfam family "Eukaryotic small subunit ribosomal RNA", at positions 592 to 976 of the family's 1831-position model. The record is from RNAcentral.